UACUAGACCUUUCUAUAUUCUACCUUCAGCCUCAUACCCCAACCCUCUACUGAGCCUGGAGUCCUUGAGACUGAAGUCUGUCAGUGUUGUUAUUUCCAGAAACAUCACACUGUUUCAAUAGGGUUGAUAAAGAUAUCAUAGGGGCAUGGAUUGGGACCUUUCUUCUGGGGACAAUGACUGAUGUAAUCUGACAUAUAUCAAGAUGUAUUGGAGCAAAGGAAGAGAAAUGGGCCACCAAGGAGGACAAAUUGGGCAUACAGAUUUUUGAAGCAAAGAAAUUUAUAGAGAAAUCAACAAGUUGUCAAUGUCAAAUAAACUCUGAAUUUAAAAAAAAUUAUUGUUAAUGUGAGCAGUGUGUAACUGAGAAGU
Molecule: non-coding RNA, 369 nt
Organism: Odocoileus virginianus texanus
Lineage: Eukaryota; Metazoa; Chordata; Mammalia; Artiodactyla; Cervidae
Source: RefSeq, a predicted model, not a curated record